GACAGAGGGGGCGAGCAUUAUCUUUGAUAACUGGGCAUAAAGGAUGCGUAGGUGGAUAUUAAUAAAACAGCUUGAUGGAAAUGUUUACGUAUUGACGUAAAUCUUAUCUUGCAUUGUUUAUCUAGAGAUAUAAAUAAGUUUGUGGAAGGCGAUAUGGAAUAGGGCAUUUGUCUUUUAAUAUAUUGAGUAAUAUCAAAAAGCGAAAGC
This 207-nucleotide ribosomal RNA is filed under the name uncultured bacterium. Its description in RNAcentral is "partial 16S ribosomal RNA". The record is from RNAcentral.